GUGCUCGCUUCGGCAGCAUAUAUACUAAAAUUGGGACCAUACAGAGAAGAUUAGCAUGGUCCCUGCACAAGGAUGACGCACAAAUCCAUGUAGCAUUCCAGAUUUUU
This is a small nuclear RNA of Loxodonta africana (African savanna elephant), 107 nucleotides long. The record is from Ensembl. NCBI's taxonomy places the organism in Eukaryota, Metazoa, Chordata, Mammalia, Proboscidea, Elephantidae.